This is a long non-coding RNA of Sander lucioperca (pikeperch), 1152 nucleotides long. RefSeq lists it as uncharacterized. NCBI's taxonomy places the organism in Eukaryota, Metazoa, Chordata, Actinopteri, Perciformes, Percidae. The transcript has 3 exons. The record is from RefSeq and is a predicted model, not a curated record.
UAGCCUGUGUCUGGCGCUGCUAAUACUGUAUGCACUGUCCUCGCGGAUAACACCACCUGACAGGACAGAUACAGUACAUACACACAUACUGAGCAUAUUGGAAGUCAUCGCUUACUCACUUUUUGUCCAUAAUAGUAUAGACCUUUUUCACUACAGACACUUUGAUUUGCCCAAGUUCAACUAGGUCUGGCUCUGUAGCUUCAUUGAGCCUACCAUUAGUGAUCCUGGAUAACCGGUAUCACGUAGCUGGUUAUCGCUUGGGUCAGUUAAAGCUGGGUUUAUCAGUCAGCAUGUUCAUGUGAAAGAAGAGGAGUUGUUAAUUACAAGCAACAUCAUCAGAACAAUAUGACGUUUCAUGCAAAAAGUAGCAGAAAGUGAUAUUCAGCGAGAUAAAAUAUAUAUAAUUUAAUCACACAACUAAAAUGGAAUUAGAAGCUGCUUGAAACAAUAGAUAUAAUAUACAAAUAAGGCUAUAACUUAAUUCAGGAAUUAUUGAAUAUGCCUGAAUAUGGUAGGCAUUUUCAACAAGUUCACUAGUCUAGAAUAGUAACAUUUUGGUGCUUUUUUAUGUUGUAAUGAACAGAGUGAUAUGAAUAUGAAUUAAUAUCAACACUUACAACUGUUAAAGUAAGUAUCUUAAUGCUGCCAACAAAGAGAAGAAAAGUGCAGAUUUUUUAAAAAAGGCCUGAAGUUACAGCUUGGCAAAUCUCUAUGACCAAAAUAAUUUACUAAGGUAAUUCACAAUGUGUCCGACAAUGUGCACAUUUAAUAUGCAACUAUGAUCUCCAGUCAUUGGUGUGUCAGUGUGUUGAACAGAAGCGUUUCCUCUAUCUCUGACAUAAUUAUAAUAGAAAUCAAAGCAAUUCUACUGAUAUAUUUUUAUACCAUGAAUGAUGUUUCUGUUGCUCUUCACCACUUUAUUGUAAACUCUGUAUUGUCAGGAUUAAAAAGACUUUAACAAUUGAAAUACUUAAAGUUGGUCAUUUCAAGGCAGGGUGGAUUGCCUUGGCAUUUGUACAUAUGAAUAUAUACAAAUAUGAAGUCAUGUUCAGUGUCUUUUGUGGACGUAAACCAUGUAUAGCAAUGUUUUCUCUAGGUUUGUGGAAGACUUAGGUGCAAGGUUCAUCAUCUCUCCCCUGACCUUACCUUCCC